This 253-nucleotide ribosomal RNA is filed under the name uncultured bacterium. RNAcentral describes it as "partial 16S ribosomal RNA". It matches the Rfam family "Bacterial small subunit ribosomal RNA", at positions 524 to 776 of the family's 1533-position model. The record is from RNAcentral.
GACGUAGGGCGCGAGCGUUGUCCGGAUUUAUUGGGCGUAAAGGGCUCGUAGGCGGCUUGUCGCGUCGUCCGUGAAAACUUGGGGCUCAACCCCAAGCUUGCGGUCGAUACGGGCAGGCUCGAGUUCGGUAGGGGAGGCUGGAAUUCCUGGUGUAGCGGUGAAAUGCGCAGAUAUCAGGAGGAACACCGGUGGCGAAGGCGGGUCUCUGGGCCGAUACUGACGCUGAGGAGCGAAAGCGUGGGGAGCGAACAGG